Molecule: non-coding RNA, 120 nt
Filed under: chicken gut metagenome
Description: FMN riboswitch (RFN element)
Rfam family: FMN riboswitch aptamer (RFN element)
About the family: The RFN element is a highly conserved domain that is found frequently in the 5'-untranslated regions of prokaryotic mRNAs that encode for flavin mononucleotide (FMN) biosynthesis and transport proteins.
Source: RNAcentral
UGUCUUCGGGGCGGGGUGCAAUUCCCCACCGGCGGUGACUGGAUGUUUCCAGAAGCCCGCGAGCGAAAGCUGACCCGGUGUGAUUCCGGGGCCGACGGUAUAGUCCGGAUGGAAGAAGAA